This 110-nucleotide small nucleolar RNA is filed under the name Gallus gallus (chicken). RNAcentral's name for it is "Small nucleolar RNA SNORA73 family". It matches the Rfam family "Small nucleolar RNA SNORA73 family", at positions 30 to 156 of the family's 219-position model. From Rfam's summary of the family: U17 (SNORA73A and SNORA73B) also known as E1 belongs to the H/ACA class of small nucleolar RNAs (snoRNAs). Vertebrate U17 is intron-encoded and ranges in length from 200-230 nucleotides, longer than most snoRNAs. The record is from Rfam by way of RNAcentral. Lineage: Eukaryota; Metazoa; Chordata; Aves; Galliformes; Phasianidae.
CCAGGCUCUGUCCAAGUGGCAUAGGGGAGCUUAGGGCUCUGCCCCAUGAUGUACAGUCCCUUUCCACAACGUUGAAGAUGAAGCUGGGCCUCGUGUCUGCGCCUGCAUAU